CACGAAACCAAGGUCCACUCUCAAGCCAAGUCAACUCGUGAACUUAAGAUUCUUCUUCCAAACAUCUUCUGGCCGCUUGAUUAAGCUAAACACGCAAAAAUGGCGCACAAACAGUGUCGACUUCGUUCCAUCAUUGAGUCGCAUCUUCGCUCUUCGUGUGAAUUGAAGAAGACGACGUCUUACUCCGAUAAGCUUCCUCACUGCAAUUUGUUCUGGUAAUACAUGGUGGAACCUCGGCGUCCCCUCGUCUCCAUUGUUGCGUCGCUCGAAUCACAGUUGGUCGCUAUGAAAUCAAUCGCCUUCAGUUCGUGUUUGUGGCCGCUCGACAUCUCAGGUGCGACAAAAACAAAAGCUCGAUGAGCAAAACCCUGAGUUUGCUAAGUGGUUUCUUCAUCGGCACACGAGCGAAACCAAUUCAGUUUCGCCGCACGUCUUGAACGAAUAGGGAUCAAUCACUGCCUUCGUCACGCCAGACUUGUGUGAUCCGACUUCACAAGCUUUGAAGCUACGCAGAACGCAUUGACAAAUUGAAGAAGAGAAUAAGAUACUUACCGGAUCGGAAUUGUCGAAUCUCCAUGGCAUUUCAUUUUGAACUUCAUCAAUCUUGCUGGGAUCGGGGAGGAGUGGAAAACAGGACCGAAGUUCCGUCGCGUUUCAGAAUACAGAAUACAGAACCGAAGCUCUGGGAUCGAGAAGGAGGACAGUUCCAAAACCGGCUUCGGUCGAACUUCACCGUUCACGUCAAUUCAAAUCCGCGCUAACAGACAAAAAACGAUACUGGUUCAAAAUAGGAAGCUCGCCGAAUCGAAGUGUCGUUGAUGAUGAAAUCCGGCCUCAAUUCGUUGUGUGGGAGGAGAAGACAAAGAUGAGUCACGGCUCCCUCGAUUGAAUUUCCACAGUGUUGACGAAUAGCGAAGAUGUUGGAUUAUAGUUCUAUAAUUUGCAGUUGUGAAAAGAGUUGUUCGAAGCCAGAUUAAACAGUACCGAAAUAGGCUUCGCACGACAAAGAUAUGGAAGAAGAGCCUUAUGUUCGAAGUGAAGUCUGCUUUACUGAGUGUUGCAAGGAAGAGGACAAGGUCACACCAAAAUAUCCAGGUGAAUUAUUCUUCCCGAAAUCUCCUCGCUUCGAUUCACUCCUUCUUCUUUGCCAAAAGGGUGAAUUGAAGAAGACUCAAAGGCCAUCAAAGAAGAAGGCUCAAUGGUGAAUUGAAGAAGAAGGCUCAAUGGUGAAUUGAAGAAGAAGGCUCGGAGUGGAUUCUAGAAAACGACUCAAAGUGAAUUGAGGAUGUGUAGGUUGAUAUUGCCGUUUUGGCGGCGUCGUGGAAGGUGUUUGUUGCUGGCUGCGUUUGAAAUUACGUCGCUUAAAUACAGGUUUUGCGGGUUGGCUAUGUCAACUGAGUUGAAAUUAGUCAUGCUGCGGUUAGUAUGCUAACUUAUUAUGUUAUGAGUUAGUUGGGUCACUAAUUGGUUAGUUUUAUGGAUCGUUAAAUCAGUUAGAAGCUCAACUUCGCAUCAAAUCCAAAUGACAAUUGAAUUUCUUCUCAAAUGGACUUAAGUUAGUCGAAAUCUCAUGUUAGCAAAUAUUUUUUGGUUUUUUAAAAUUGCUAUUACAACUGGUUAGCAGGUGUUAAACUUCUAUCCAUGUUAAGUGCAAGUUAGGUUUCAACCUUGUGAACCAAAAGUCGUUGGCUCAAAGCCGGUUUGACAUAGUCCCAGUGAAAGGUUAGUGUUAUUGUUAGUAAAUUAGUCACAUUGUUAUCAUCAGUUAGUCGCGAAAUUGCCGGUUUGUUAUGACCGAAUUUAGUUCCGAAGUUUAUUAGAGAUUUCACUUUAGUUGGAGGUUGGAUGAAUGAUGAAUCUCUGCGUCAUUUUACAUGAUUGUGUGCUAUGUGAUAUGUGCCUUGGUUAUGAGUUAUGCGUGAUGUCGUGAUUUAGUCGAAUGAAUUUGAAAUAUAAUGCACGUGACUGCGGUUUGGAUUUUCUUUUCUUAUUGGCUGUUGUGAUGCAGGUGUGGUGGGGCUUGGCGGGAUGGCAUUUGGCGGCGUCACACUUGAGAUGCAUUACCCAGGAAUGUGACGACUCCGGUGCAUUGAGAAGAUAUUCAUUUCGAAACAGUACUUUAUAGUUAUCUCAUGAACUUGUAUGAAACUCAGAAAUUGCUUUGCAAAUAUCAAUGAAUGAAUAGUGUAGUAUAAAAUUAGCAUAGUCCUUUAUUUACAAAUUUCUGUAAAAUGCAGUAAAAGUAGCAUGGUUUAUUGGUGUGGUAUCCUUAAGUCUUCGUAAACAACUAGGCUCACACUUAGAUUCAUCACUUGGACUAUUGUGCAGAUGAAUCAUUCAGGAACUUUGGAAAACUCACUUUUGAAAUUCAUGGUAUUUCAAUA
Long non-coding RNA from Lathyrus oleraceus (garden pea), 2384 nucleotides. RefSeq lists it as uncharacterized. NCBI's taxonomy places the organism in Eukaryota, Viridiplantae, Streptophyta, Magnoliopsida, Fabales, Fabaceae. The transcript is spliced from 3 exons. The record is from RefSeq and is a predicted model, not a curated record.